This 349-nucleotide long non-coding RNA is filed under the name Setaria viridis. Its description in RNAcentral is "long non-coding RNA (SVIR_LNC010870)". The record is from RNAcentral. Lineage: Eukaryota; Viridiplantae; Streptophyta; Magnoliopsida; Poales; Poaceae.
UUCUUGAGGUCCGUCUAGUCGCGGAUGCUAUUGGGCAAAAGGAAUUUGAGCCAAGCUUGAAUGAACUCCCCUACACAGAUGGGGAUGUACUGGAUGAUGAAGUAAUCAUCAUCUGCGUCGCUGGCUCGACAGGCGAGCCAGAAGUUUUCCAACCAUAGGGUGCACCUCCUCGUGUUCCUCAUCGGACCAGUCGUGGCCCGCGCCACCCACGCUUGCCGCCAUUUGGUGGACAUCGGCGUCGUGCCGAGGCAGGCACCGCGCAUGGAUGACACUACGUGCAUCAUAGUUCAGUCCAAGCUACUAACACAUGUGCUGGCAAUGUGGAGCUGGUGCCGAACCGGGCUACGGC